This 433-nucleotide ribosomal RNA is filed under the name uncultured bacterium. Its description in RNAcentral is "partial 16S ribosomal RNA". It matches the Rfam family "Bacterial small subunit ribosomal RNA", at positions 29 to 507 of the family's 1533-position model. The record is from RNAcentral.
AACGAACGCUGGCGGCAUGCCUAACACAUGCAAGUCGAACGAGACCUUCGGGUCUAGUGGCGCACGGGUGCGUAACGCGUGGGAACCUGCCUUUAGGUUCGGAAUAACUCAGAGAAAUUUGAGCUAGUACCGGAUGAUGUCUUCGGACCAAAGAUUUAUCGCCUUUAGAUGGGCCCGCGUUGGAUUAGCUAGUUGGUGGGGUAAAGGCCUACCAAGGCGACGAUCCAUAGCUGGUCUGAGAGGAUGAUCAGCCACACUGGGACUGAGACACGGCCCAGACUCCUACGGGAGGCAGCAGUGGGGAAUAUUGGACAAUGGGCGAAAGCCUGAUCCAGCAAUGCCGCGUGAGUGAUGAAGGCCUUAGGGUUGUAAAGCUCUUUUACCCGAGAUGAUAAUGACAGUAUCGGGAGAAUAAGCUCCGGCUAACUCCGUG